RNAcentral lists this ribosomal RNA (501 nucleotides) under uncultured bacterium. RNAcentral describes it as "partial 16S ribosomal RNA". It matches the Rfam family "Bacterial small subunit ribosomal RNA", at positions 29 to 523 of the family's 1533-position model. The record is from RNAcentral.
AUUGAACGCUGGCGGCAUGCCUUACACAUGCAAGUCGAACGGCAGCACGGGUGCUUGCACCUGGUGGCGAGUGGCGAACGGGUGAGUAGUACAUCGGAACGUACCCUAUCGUGGGGGCUAACGCAGCGAAAGCUGUGCUAAUACCGCAUACGCCCUGAGGGGGAAAGCGGGGGAUCGCAAGACCUCGCGCGAUUAGAGCGGCCGAUGCCUGAUUAGCUUGUUGGUGGGGUAAAAGCCCACCAAGGCGACGAUCAGUAGCUGGUCUGAGAGGACGAUCAGCCACACUGGGACUGAGACACGGCCCAGACUCCUACGGGAGGCAGCAGUGGGUAAUUUUGGACAAUGGGGGCAACCCUGAUCCAGCAAUGCCGCGUGAGUGAAGAAGGCCUUCGGGUUGUAAAGCUCUUUUGUCAGGGAAGAAACACCGGCUCUAACACAGUCCGGGAAUGACGGUACCUGAAGAAUAAGCACCGGCUAACUACGUGCCAGCCGCCGCGGUAA